This 74-nucleotide transfer RNA is filed under the name Marmota monax (woodchuck). RNAcentral's name for it is "tRNA.Ala". Lineage: Eukaryota; Metazoa; Chordata; Mammalia; Rodentia; Sciuridae. The record is from RNAcentral.
GUUGAAACUGUGGCUCAGUGGUACAGCUCUCGCCUAGCAUGCGUGAGGCACUGAGUUCAAUCCUCAUCACCACA